Molecule: ribosomal RNA, 464 nt
Filed under: uncultured bacterium
Lineage: Bacteria
Description: bacterial SSU rRNA
Rfam family: Bacterial small subunit ribosomal RNA
Source: RNAcentral
CCUACGGGUGGCAGCAGUCGAGAAUUUUUCACAAUGGGGGAAACCCUGAUGGAGCGACGCCGCGUGGAGGAUGAAGGUUUUCGGAUUGUAAACUCCUGUCAUUAGAGAACAAGGCGCACGGUUUAACUGGCCGUGCGUUGAUAGUAUCUGAAGAGGAAGAGACGGCUAACUCUGUGCCAGCAGCCGCGGUAAUACAGAGGUCUCAAGCGUUGUUCGGAUUCAUUGGGCGUAAAGGGUGCGUAGGUGGCGGCGUAAGUCGGGUGUGAAAUCUCCAAGCUUAACUUGGAAACUGCACUCGAUACUGCGUCGCUCGAGGACUGUAGAGGGCAUUGGAAUUCACGGUGUAGCAGUGAAAUGCGUAGAUAUCGUGAGGAAGACCAGUGGCGAAGGCGAAUGCCUGGGCAGUUCCUGACACUGAGGCACGAAGGCCAGGGGAGCAAACGGGAUUAGAUACCCUUGUAGUC